Molecule: long non-coding RNA, 1260 nt
Filed under: Gadus morhua (Atlantic cod)
Lineage: Eukaryota; Metazoa; Chordata; Actinopteri; Gadiformes; Gadidae
Description: lncRNA (ENSGMOG00000024127.1)
Source: RNAcentral
AUAAUUCUUGGCCAUAUUUUCUAUAUAGGCUCGGGAUUGCCCCUCUAUGGUUUCCCUUGAGUUUGAAGAACAUUCCUUUGGCCAAUUAGAAGAUAUACAAAUUCCUCGUUUAUUCCGCCCCCUUAUGGCGAAAAUUUCCGAAUUUUUUAUCGAACGCCAUUAAGUGGAGCAUCGACAUGUCUGUACAAUUUGGACUCGAUCCGAUGUCUAAUUCUGGAUUUCUUUGGAUUUUUGAUUUUCCACGUCUAAUUUAGCUCAUAAACCAAUAUUCAAAACGCUACCGUUUCGUCGUCGAAGGUCCGAUCAAAAAAGUGUCUAUCAAUUAUAUGCGUGUGCGUCUGAAGAUGCCGUGUGCAAAGUUUGGUGUCGAUUGGUCAAGAAAUGUGGGAGGAGUAGCGAAAAAACAGUUUUGCGGUUUUCGCGAUUUUGCGAAAAAAAAUUAUGGACGCAAAUGGGCGUGGCCUAUGCCAAAAGAUGCAGCAGACUCCAGUGAAUAUGUGCGUACAAGUUUUUGAAUGUGGGAGAUUCGGUGUGGGAGUUAAAGCCCCAAACGCGUAUUCAUUGGAAUAGCGCCACCUAGUGGCCGGCAUGUCUGGGUUUUGUCGUCUGCGUAGUGUUCACGCAGUGGCGGAUCUUCCAUUAGGCAAACCUAGGCAAGUGCCUAGGGCCCCAACCAAAUCUGUCUUUAUUAGGGGCCCCCAAAUCUGACCCCCCCAGCCAUUACUUAUGUAAAGUAAAAAAGAAAAACACAUUUCUAGUAGAAAAAAAUAACAAAAAUAUCAACAUAAUGCCGAACUAAGGCCUAAAUAAUAAUUUUCCAGCACACAUGCCCCCCUCCAUUGUGCAUUGGACUAGUCCAGAAUAUGAUUACGUAGUAACGCGCGCAGCGCGAAAUAACUUACUUCAAACCAAAGCAGAGGGAUGCAACUCGGUGAAAAUGAAGCGGCGGAAUUAUGAUAGUUGUUGUGCUAAACGAAAACAAAUUUUCACCGAGUUGCAUCCCUCUGCUUUGGUUUGAAGUAAGUUAUUUCGCGCUGCGCGCGUUACUACGUAAUCAUAUUCUGGACUAGUCCAAUGCACAAUGGAGGGGGGCAUGUGUGCUGGAAAAUUAUUAUUUAGGCCUUAGUUCGGCAUUAUGUUGAUAUUUUUGUUAUUUUUUUCUACUAGAAAUGUGUUUUUCUUUUUUACUUUACAUAAGUAAUGGCUGGGGGGGUCAGAUUUGGGGGCCCCUAAUAAAGACAGCCACUGCGUGAACACUAC